GUGCUCGAUGAAGUGCUUACUGCAUUUUUUCUUACACAUGUGUUUUUCUUUUUUUGAAAACUUUGCUUUGGUAGGCCUUCUAUAUGGGGCCUGCCAGAGAUUAAACUCAACCAAAUUUUAUUUAAUGUCAACCGAUUAUUUAAUAGUCAAAACUUUCAACAACGGAUCUCUUGGUUCUCGCAUCGAUGAAGAACGCAGCGAAAUGCGAUAAGUAAUAUGAAUUGCAGAUAUUCGUGAAUCAUCGAAUCUUUGAACGCACAUUGCGCCCUUUGGUAUUCCAAAGGGCAUGCCUGUUUGAGCGUCAUUUCUCCCUCAAACCCUCGGGUUUGGUGUUGAGCGAUACGCUGGGUUUGCUUGAAAGAAAGGCGGAGUAUAAACUAAUGGAUAGGUUUUUUCCACUCAUUGGUACAAACUCCAAAACUUCUUCCAAAUUCGACCUCAAAUCAGGUAGGACUACCCGCUGAACUUAAGCAUAUCAAUAAAGCGGAGGAAUAA
This 495-nucleotide ribosomal RNA is filed under the name Lodderomyces parapsilosis. Its description in RNAcentral is "eukaryotic LSU rRNA". The stretch from base 151 to 304 matches the Rfam family "5.8S ribosomal RNA". The record is from RNAcentral. Lineage: Eukaryota; Fungi; Ascomycota; Pichiomycetes; Serinales; Debaryomycetaceae.